UGAACUUCGUCGACGAGAACGAGUAAGCUGCGGGAAUCGUUCCCCAGAGAGCCGGCAUUCGCUGCAAGCCGGCGUUCGAGCCCCAGCUGAAUAUCCUCUCCGAGAAGCGCCGCCGAACGGGAAAGCAGUAAGCGACGCCGGGUGUCCGCCGUUAUACGGAACGCAGACGACCUCGUCUCUGCGGCGAAGGUGCCGGAGCGCCUCCACGUUGUCUUAUACAAGACCUCGCGGAGCUCGUGCCCGGAACAAGGGUGGUAUCGCGAGUGAAGACUCGUCCCUGUU
RNAcentral lists this non-coding RNA (282 nucleotides) under Paenibacillus darwinianus. Its description in RNAcentral is "T-box sequence". It matches the Rfam family "T-box leader". From Rfam's summary of the family: Uncharged tRNA acts as the effector for transcription antitermination of genes in the T-box leader family. The record is from RNAcentral. Lineage: Bacteria; Bacillati; Bacillota; Bacilli; Caryophanales; Paenibacillaceae.